GCUUAAGUUUUGUUAUUGAUUCCAUGUAUUCAUGUGUGUACAAUGGUCAGGAUCAUACAUCAACUUCACAGAGGUACAGGUGCCAAGAUUGUUUGAAGUACAUUAUUUUUGGGUAUGUCUGACAGUGUUUCUGGUGACUAAUGCUGGUUGAGUAUUGGCUUUUUUUUUUUUUAAAUAAAAAAGGCUAUACAGAAAGUAAUGUGUUUCAUUAUGACAUUUUCAUAUAUAUAUGUCAGUAUAUUUUGUUCUUAUUUUUGCCCUCUGCUCAAGGACUAGCUCUUGAGCUGGUAGACAGAAUGAAGAUGAUCUGCCUCAGGGAUGUGGGAGACUCAUCCUAUGUGUUGAGGGAAAUUUUGAAUAAAACAUAAAGGAAAAUGGUAAAUUCAACUUCUUCAUCCAGCUUAGGACACAGCAUUCCUAGUCGUUGGGCUUUCAGACUGAGGCUUGCAUUCACACAAUCAUCUUGUUAGGUCCUCAGGCCUUCACACUUGGGCUUAUUUCCACCACCAUCUUGGGCCUGGUGUUCAAUUCCCAGGGUCUCCAGUUGUCAGUGAUAGGUGGUGAGAUUUCCUAAGCACAUGAGACAAAACCUGAAGUAAAUAUUUCCUUCCCUGUUAUAUAACACAUAAUAUAUACAUGCAUGUAUGAAUACAUGUGUGUUAUAUAUGUAUAUACAUGCACUGAUAUGCACAUGUACAUACAUUCAUUUUUUAAUUUUUUUUUAUUUUUUGGUUUUUUGAGACAGGGUUUCUCUGUGUAGCUUUGGAGCCUAUCCUGGCACUCACUCUGCCUCCCGAGUGCUGCGAUUAAAGGCGUGUGCCACCAACGUCCGGCCAUUCAUGUCAUAUUAAGGUAUGAAUAUACACAUAUAUUCAUGUUUCGUUGAUGUAUAUGACAUAGUGAAACGUAUUCUGCUGAUUAAAGUGUAUUGAGAUAUCAAAACCAUUGAUCUUACAGUUGUUGCAAAAGCACAUUCAGUGACUUAUUUUUCCAUGUUUCAGGUUUAUUUGUACAAAUAGUACUAGAGGACAUCAGCCCCAUGUGUACCUCACAAGCCAGGAGUUAUAAAAGUCCUUCUGUCCUCACCUUGGUAAAUAUAAAGAGUCUUUAUGUGGAGCCCUCGUGGUGGGUUGGACACCUUGUGGGAGCCUGUGCCCAGAGCUGGAGCUAGUCUCCAGACAUACACGAUCAAACAUCUGGUGAAAUGCUAUUUUAGUACACAGGUGUUCUCCUUGGCCAUAAGCUAAACAUCUGGAUGGAAGAUAUUUUCUUCAGUUUCCACCAGAUGUUCGGUGUUACAGAAUAGACACAGGCAUGUAAUUAAAGUAACUUGUGAGUGAAAUGCUGAGUUAACACAUAACUUGAGGCUAAUCUUCCAUCCAUCCUGAAUGUGACCACAAAUAAGUCCACCACUAUCAUUACAGCUGCAUAUCUACUAAUGAACGCCCUAAGAAGGGCCAGGAAUUCACAUCUCCGGCCAUUCAUCUGGUAACUGUAACUUGUCCCUUCCAUUCUUGGGAUUCAGCUGAAGUGUCACAAGGGAAUUGUUUUCUAUCUAUGGCCUUAGGGGCUAAGAGCUGUCUUACAGAUCUUUGUAAAGGCACACAUUUUUUUUCCCUGCAUUGGCUCCAGGUUUCUGCCUCUCAGUUCUAACUUCUAAUUGGAAAAAACUAGGCACAUAUCUCUACUACUUCUUGAAUAGAUACUUCAACAAAAUAGCUUUGGUUUAAGACUGUAACCAUAUUGGGUUAUAGUACCAACUCAGUUUGUCAAGCUGGUGCUCUUCAUGGAGGGAAGUGGAUCUUUUAAAGUCUGAAAGCUCUGUCAUGGUUUUAAAAUGCUCGAUAUUAGUAAUCAAUGAUUCACAUAUAAAUCCCUUUUUAAUUACUCUGCUGUUUACUUUUCAGCUCUUCUUUAAGGCAGAGCUCAAGUCCCACCCAGUCCUGGAAGCUGCUAAGCAUUUCCUUUGCAGUGUUUUGCUGUGCUUCAUUGUUUACUGUCUGUAUGACGCUGGCAUUUGCAGCUAUGAUAGAAUAUUCCACAAUCAAUGUAAAUAUAAAGAUGUAUGGGGGACACAAAAAGAGAUUCCUCUGUGGCUAAAAGUUCCUUUCGCACCCAUACUGGGUGCCGCACAAGCAUCUGUGACUCCAGCUCCAGGGGUAUGUAGUUCUCCCUGGAGCACCUAUACUCGUGUGCACAUAGCCUUGCACAGAAUCAAUCACACAUAAUUAAAAAUAAAGCUUUAUUAUUAUUAUUAUUGUUAUUACUAUUUAGCUCACGUUUCUGGUCAUUCAAGAGCAGGUUCCAGCAACUGUUGGGUUCAGGGCAGGACUUCUGGUCACAUCACAAUAAGGCCAAUGGCAUUAGUGUAGGAAGUCAUACAAGAAGAAGGGAUAACAAUGACAAGAUAGGAAGCCAGACAAGUUCAGGGGACAAGCUUGCUUUUCUUUCCUCUUCUUUCUUAUGACAACCCACUAUAUUUGUAACUAAUCAGGGUCCCAAAAGAACUCCAUUAACUCUCAAAGAUGCCAACUAAGACUAAAUAAGCUUUUAUUAGGUCCUACCUCUGCAAAGUUCUACUCUGUCUGCACUGCCACCCUGGCACCAAGUUUCCCAGCACAUGAGCCUAUGGUAGGAGCUGGGGUAGGAGUGGAUGGACAUUACCAUACACAUACGCUGAAGCUAUAGGCAAACUAGCCUCACUUUGUGGCUGUUUGGCUCUGUGUUUGACUGAUAAGUGCCAUAUCAAUGAAACAAGCACCCAUCUCCUCCUGGUGAAUAAUUGUCCAGAUCUGGACUUGGCUGUGGGCUUCCAAGCUGUGUUGAGCAGAAAGGUACACGGCACUUGGCUUUCAAAGUAUACUCAGUGAAUUGGACUCAACUAGAUGUUUGCUUCCUUCCCACAACUGCGCUAUCUGAGCAGGAUGCCUUGUGGUCCUUAAAGAUGGUAUAUAUAGAUGUUGCCUGUAUGUAUGUCUGUCUACCACAUAUAUGCCUAAUGCCCAUGGAAGUCUGGAAAGGGUGUCAGAUUCCCUGGAACUAGAGUUACAAAUAAUUGUGAACCUCCAUAUGGGUGCUGGAAAUAGAACCCAGGUCCUUUGGAAGAGCAGCAAGUACUUUUAACCACCGAGCCAUCUCUGAAGACCCUGAUUUGGACAUUAAAACAAUUUCAUAUUGGGCUGGGCAUGGCGAUCCAUGCCUUUAAUCUCAGCAUUUGUAAGGCAGAGGCAGGUGGAUCUCUGUGAGUUUGAGGCCAGCCAUAUCAUAAUAGUGAGUUCCAUACCAGCCAGAGUUACACAGUCAGACUCUGUCUUAAAAAAAAUGUAUAUUUUUUUUGGAGUGGAGAAAUGGCUCAGAGGGUAAGAGUUCCUGCUGCUCUUGCAGAAGACACAAGUUUGAUUUCCAGCCCCCAUACCCAAUAGAUUAUGGCUGCCAUCAAUGCCAGCAGAUCUGAUGCACUUUUCUGGUCCCCUAGGAACCCCCCCCCCCCACCUAGCAAUCACCCACACAGGCACAUACACAGUAAACAGGAAACUUUUGAAAGGCUUAUUCUUUAUUAGUGUGUGCACCUGUGUGCAUGAUGUAUGCGUGGGGCAGGGUGCGUGAGCAAUGGCAUGUAUGUGGAAGUCAGAGGAUUUCUUCCAGAGGUCAGUGUUAGCCUUCCAUGUCCAGGAAUGGAACUCAGGUCAUUAGGCCCAAGUGGCAUGCAUCUUUAGCCAUCAAGUCAGCCUGUCUGCUCCUUAAGCUGGAUUCCUAAGAAUCUAGUAAUUGAACUUAAGAACUAGAAAAGACGUUUUUAUUGUUAUUAUAUUUCUUUGAACUCUUGACCUUUUUCAAAUAGCACAUUUAAACUGUGGUGUUUUAAAUUUGAACAUGAAUUAUGUCAUUUUCAUAUUUUGUGAGCACUGAAUUCCAGAAACGCUGCUCUUAUGUGUCUAUUUCUUACAUGUCACAUAUGCUCCUUUGAGGGUGAAUAUUUAAAUCACGAGGAUCAAAUUAUUUUGAAAAAUAAACAUUUUUGAAAAAAACUAAGAAAUUAUAUAGCAAUUGUAGGAAAAUGAUCUUCAGUGUAACUUGAUAUAUGGAUUUUUAAAAAAUCUUCAAAUACUGUGCUUAUGGUAUCAUGGAUUGGGAAUUCAGUGCUUUCUUUUUGAAAUAUUGUGGAAUUAACAACUAAAAAUUUCAAGGAGUUUAUAUAAAAUUCCUAAUAGUGCUAUGAAGCAAAUCCCUGAAAUCACAUGCAAAAAGUAUCCCAGAUUUUAUGUUGAUAAAAAUGAAAUCUAUAAUCAACUAUUACUUUUAAAUAGAAAAAGUACCUUGCAUUAUACAUGGAAAUCAUUAGGCAAGCAGAAUAGAUGGUAUGAGGAGCAAAUAGGAACACUCCAGAAGAAAAGGAAGUAACUUAUUCAAAGAUAACUCUUGGCACUUUGAGAAUUCCUUUGGGUUUUAUGCAUGAUACCAUUGAGGUGUUCACAUAAAAAUUUAAUUUUCUCUUACCUUCAAUGUGUGUCAUGAAUCGUGUCCACUGUCACACUGAGGUUCACAAUAAACAAAGAUCCACAUAUGAACAAGUGUUUAUGUGAUCUGAUGCAGGUGCUGUUAAAGAUGACAGGGCAAGUGAUAAGAUUGCUCCAGUUUCUCAGUCAGGAAAAAGAAUACACCAGGAUGUUUCAUGGAUAAUGACUCUUAUCUAUCAUAACAUCUUCUUUCUGCUUUUCAACCAACAGAUUCUCUUCUCCAGCCCAGAACUUCAAUAUAGCAAACAGAAGAUUCGGGGCCUUGGACUCUGGGUGGAUCCGUCCCAACUUGUUCCUCAGCUCCAGCACUUCAUCAACAACUGAACCUCGGAGGAGAACCCCAGUGGCCAGCACAGAAGUGGUACCAGUGACUCUGUGGACAGAACUGGAGCAUUAGCUGACAGUCUGCUGAGGGUCGCUGGCUUCAUCUCAAAUGUACUUAUACUUACCCAAGUUAACAUGCCAUAUAUUGUACCUUCUUAGAGCUAUGAUGUACAAUUCUAAGGGAUGCUAUAAUAACUACAGGCCAUGACCCUGCCAUUACUGAGAUGCUACAAUGGAAAUGAACACAGUAACCGACUAGUCUGUAAAAAAAAAAAAAAAAAGUCGCAUACAACAGUGGUUUUCAUUCCUUUGGUUCAUUGCUAUGCAGCCAGUGCUGAGACACAUUCUGGGUACCCAGCAAAUAUUUGCUAAUUGAAUGAUUACUUUGUUAAAGCAUCUCACUUAUCAGCAAGAUAAAUUAAAAGCCCAUUCAUUUAAAAAGGAACUCUCAGUGUAUUUUCAAUCUUUCCCCCUUAGUCAAGAUCUACUCAGAGAAAUCUACCCACACUGUGUUUAAAUAACCAAUGUCUUUACUUAACUUGCCUGAGGAGAAAGAAAACACUAUCAAUAUACCCUGGAAGAUUCUGCAGGACAUCCAUUCUGCAGAUGAAAUGAAAAAUUCAAUCCCUGAGAAAAUAUUUUAAUAUCAUUCAGCAAAUGAGACUUUUCUCAAAGACUGUCAAAAGCAUUGUAUUUUGCUAUAUUGAUUAAUUUUCUGCAGAGAUUAGUGUGUGUGUGUGUGUGUGUGUGUGUGUGUGUGUGUGUGUGUGUGUGUGUUGUAUAUCAUCAAAGAGCCAAGAAAUAUUUCGUGACUAUGUAUCAGUACCAUGUGGAUGUUCUGAGUCAUAUUUAUAUCUAUGAUGAGUAGUGACAUUUCAUCAAGGGCAUAAGAACAUGGUACUAUUCAUCCUAGGUUUUAUGAGUUUAAGGGUCUGGAAAAUUGCAAGCAGUACCUAUGUCUAGGGAAGCCCCAAGGGCUCAGAAAAGCUGUGUGUGUGGGGUAGGGAGCUGUGAUAUUUCCCAGAUUUCUAACUCUUGAUAAAAUGACAAAUCUGAGUUUGUAGGGAAAGAUGUUAUGAGUUUACUUUUAGACUGUAAUCCCAGAAUUUGUGAGGCUGAUUGAGGAGGACCUUGACUUCAAGGCAGCCUGAGUGACAUAGGGAGACCCUGUCUGUGUUUUCCUUGUGUGAGCAUUGACCUGAAUUUGGAGUAUGUAUGUAUGUAUGUAUGUACGUACAUACUUACAUAUAUAUGCAUCUCACGGGCACCUAGAAGGUAAUAUGACUGUAGCUCAGAAUUUUAGUUUUAAACCAUCACCAAAUAUAGAUGUUUCUCAACUUAUAAGAGGUCUGACCUUCACAAACCCAUCACAAGUGGAAAUACUGUAUCCUAAAAUGCAUUUGAUAUACCUAUCCUAGGGAAAGUUAUAGUUUAGCAGCUGGUACAUUGCAGAGUGUGGGCUGUUUCACCUGGUGAUCUUGUGGCUGCCUAGGACAUGAGGAUGUCUGCCAUUGCUCAACAAGUAUUACACAGCAUAGUGCUAGCCCAGUAAAAGACCAACACUCAAAAUUUCCACUGAAUCCUUGUUGCUUUUGUACUACUACAUAACUGGAAAAUUGUAAGUAGAAUGCUUGUUAAGUAGAGGACCAUCUGUAGUGAUAUCUGGGGCUUUGGGCGUGGAUGAAAGCACCCAAAGAUAAAGAGCAUAUAAAAUGAGAAAAUAAGAGGGUUGAAGAUAGAAUGCUUGGAAACACCAUAAUUUAGGGGGCUGGCAGAAAAAGAGAAGCCAGCCAAGAAAUGGAACAGGACAGAAAGAUAUCACAUAAGCCCAGAGGGGGAUGGGAAGUACAGUCUGCUCAUGAAACGGUUAGCAGAUGAAGAUUGGAAAUAGCACAUUUGAAAAAUUACUAAUUGGAAGCACAUACAAAUAUUGGUAUACCUAUUCUGAGGGUAAAAUUUUAGGUUUCCCUCCCCGUGUGUGUGUGUGUGUGUGUGUGUGUGUGUGUGUGUGUGUGUACAUUCAUGCACAUGGUGGGGGCUGGAUUUCAUGUCCUUGCUCAUAUUAAGAAAAUAGUAACAGCUGAGCUAUAUCUUCAACCUUGUUUCUUUGAGUCAAGGUCUCCCUAUGUAGCCCAGGCUUGCCUAGAACUCAGGAUCAACCUCCCUCAGCCUCACACAUGCUGGGAUCACAGUUGUGUGCUACCAUGCUCAGCAAUUCUAUUUUCUUUCAGCUACUCUGUAUUUUCUGACUUUCCUAUAAUGGUAAUCAGUUACAUUUGUAUUAAAAUGUUAUUAUAAGGGUCCAGGUUGAUGGCUCAACAGUUAAAAGAAUACUCACCACUCUUGUAGAGGAACCAGGUUCAGUUUCUGAACUCCAAAUGCAGAUCCACAACCAUUCAUAUUCCUGUUCCAGGAGUUCUGAUGUCUUCUUUUGACUUCUGUGGGAUCUAGGCACAUACACAAUGCACAUAUAUACACCCAGGCAAAACACUCAUACACAUAAAAUAAUCUUUUAAAAUGUUAUUAAAGUAUAAAACAAAUGCUCUGAGAAAGUCUACACUAUUCCUACAGAACUUAGAGAAAGAAGCAGGGAAUUGUGAAUUCAAACAUACUUGAUCAUGUAUGUGCUAGGCACCAAGCUAAUGAUAAACAAGGAAUGUGAGGAAUACUCUGAUGUUCUAUAAAAAAAAAAAGGAAGCCAGCUGGCUUAGCAAGGGAUCGAUGCAGGUCUUUUAGGGUGCACUGGCAGCACAUGAGGUUAGAUGGCAGUCUGCCACCACAUUAAAUUGACUUUAUAUGUCCUAUAACUAAUAUGGCCUCUAUUCUGAAAGCUCCAGAUGGGUUUCUGAGGGGCAGAGAGAGGAGUAGAAUUGAGCUUUAAGUGAGGUAAGUUUCUGCUUAACUUUGAUAACAAUGUGUCUACUGGCCCAGAGGAACCCAAGGAAGGAGAUUGGGCAGGGUUCUCAGGAACUGCAAUGAUUUAAGGGAGUGCUCUAGGGAUGCCCUUUAUCCAGAGAAACUGGGGAAUUGCACAGACAUGUAUGGGACAUGAUUGAUUGUGACUGGAUGCAUACUGAUACAACCAAUUGGAUGGAUGUUGUGGGAAGGAAGGUAUCAAGGACAACUGCAAAAACCGAAACAGCCCAAGAAAACAUUUUGUUGCUUAUCAAACCACAAUACUUACAAUGGGACAUUGCUCUUUCUCAAACAGUGAGAUGGAGCUGUACUCAGAGCAGGCAGGUCCAGUUCCCGAUGGAGCAUCUCAAGAAGACUCAUGGAUGGGAGGCCAAUCAUCAGAAGCACACAGUUGGGACACUUUCUGUACCCAGCAAUGGGUGUUCCAGGCCAGCCUCUGUGCAUGGCCAUAAGUCAUUAGGAUUUGUGAGUAUGUCCUGUCUAGAUUCCCCGAGUUUUCACCACUGAGGCAACUAUUGUCAUGGAUACCAGGGUGACACUGGUUGGCCCCACCAGAUCUCAUUGUUUCUUUCUCACCUUGGGCCUACACUUAAAGGAUGGUGAACUGACACUGGAAUGAACCAGAAGUUCAGACACACACCUUUCUUCCCUUCCUCUCCCUGUUCUAGGGAAGACAAUCAUCUGGGUACGGAUUAAAAUCAACAGAUACAGACAGCACAUGCCUAUAAUUCCAGGACUCAAGAGCUAAGGCAGGAACAUCUUUUGUUCCAGGACUACUUGGGCUACAGUUCUGGCUAGCCUGGAAGAUCCUGUGUAAAACCAGACAGAGACAUGAACAAACAAACGAACAAAUGAGCAAAAAUAAAAUGAGCAGAUCAGCCUCAAAGAAAACAACAAUAAGAAGGGGCUGUGGAGAUGACUUGGUGGGGAAGAGUGCUUGCCUUGAAAGCAUGGGGAAUUGAGUUCAAAUCCCAAUACUCACUUGAAAAGCUGGGCUAUGUGCCCACCUAAUUCCAGUGCUGUGACUAGCAGAGACAUGAAGACUGUUGGAGCAGCUGGCUGCCAGUCUAGUUCUAGAUUCAGUGAGAAACCUUGUCUUAAAGCAGUACUGUAGAGAAUGACAGAGCAGGGCACUCUGGCCUCUGUGAGUACAUGACUCGCAAGCACGCGCGUGCGCGCACGCACACAUACACACACACACACACACACACACACACACACACACACACACAAACACACACCACAUGUACUCAUGCACACAAAAAGUAUGCAAGAAAAGAAUGGCUGGUGGUUAUGAGGUUUUUAACUUAGGUGCCUAGUUGAUAAAGAGGGACAACUAUCUCAAAGUUUGUAUACUCUCAUGGUUAUUGAUGUAUAUAAAAUAUGAAAGCAAGGUUUGUACAGUGUUAUUAGGGGAGGAAUAAAGGACAAUGUGUGCCUGAGGGAAAUCUAUUUUUAAGACAAGACAGAGUCCUUAAUCUCACCUAUUUCCUUCCGCAAGUACAUGGGUACACUUCCUUUUCCUGUCUGUGGAAUGACAAACAGGAGGUAGAAUUAGCUUUCAGAUGUGUACACAUAGGUAGUUACAAUCUCCUAGGAUGGGACCUUCUCUAAUGGCUAGAGAAGGACUAUGAAACUGUAAGCCAAGAAAGAAACAGGUGUAACUAAAUGCAACAAAAUACUUUUAAAGUUAAAAGGCCAAAGAGGAGGUUCCAAGUGAGCUGGCCCAGUAGAGCUAAUAGGCAAUAGCUGCUGCACCUGUCAUAGGUACCCGGCCUUCUUCUUGAAUUCUUUAUCAUCUCCACUGUACAGCGUGGAGGACAGCGGCCAAGGAUGUCCAGCUAAUAAGGGGUCAAAUUUGAACUCGGCUAUAAGUAAUUUGCAGUAUUAGCUUUCCCUCCAGGGCCAGCCACAACCAAGACAUUUUAAGUUAAGUAAUACACAGCCUUGCCCAUCUCAUCUUGCAAAGAAUGGAACAUGAAAGUAGCCUUGGAGAGUGACUUACUUGGGGAAGGCCUUUCUAAUCAUCCUAGCUCCCACACAGAGUGCCAGGCUGCCCCUUCACCACUCACCCCCAGUAGAAGAUCCAAUAAAGUAGAGAGGCAAGUAAUGCUCUCUUUUCAGCUGACUUCGUUCCUAACAUUCCUUUGCAACGGGCGACUCUCCAAGAUAAGUUUCUGUGUGCAGCCUGAGCACAGAGGUUCUGAACAGUUAACACACAGGUCAGAAAGGGUCCCCAGGCUUCCCAGCCUCCCUCUGGUCCUUCCCACCUUCAGGUAGGAUGCAGAGACAGGUACCUCCUUCCUUCCCCAUGGCCACUAGCUGGUGGCCAGAUCCCAAGCCUGCGCCUGGCCCGCCACUUCUGGAGCCCCCUCUCCAGCGUGGCCACGGUGAAAAGCGAGCGACCCUCGGCGCGAGCCACACACUCACGCGCUACCGCUUGUUGCUCCCCGCAGCCGCGACGUGGGGAAGUGAAAAUGAAAUUGACUUUUCCGAGAAAUGAUGAAAGCCGCGCUGCCCGCCAAUGAACAGCGGCGGCGAACUUCCGCACCUCCCGGCUGGCGGCUGGAGCCCUCCCUCUGCCUCCACCUCCG
This 10351-nucleotide long non-coding RNA is filed under the name Cricetulus griseus (Chinese hamster). Its description in RNAcentral is "lncRNA (ENSCGRG00015030340.1)". The stretch from base 8667 to 8740 matches the Rfam family "tRNA". Lineage: Eukaryota; Metazoa; Chordata; Mammalia; Rodentia; Cricetidae. The record is from RNAcentral.